RNAcentral lists this ribosomal RNA (243 nucleotides) under uncultured Staphylococcus sp. RNAcentral's name for it is "partial 16S ribosomal RNA". It matches the Rfam family "Bacterial small subunit ribosomal RNA", at positions 96 to 334 of the family's 1533-position model. The record is from RNAcentral. Lineage: Bacteria; Bacillati; Bacillota; Bacilli; Caryophanales; Staphylococcaceae.
CGGCGGACGGGUGAGUAACACGUGGAUAACCUACCUAUAAGACUGGGAUAACUUCGGGAAACCGGAGCUAAUACCGGAUAAUAUAUUGAACCGCAUGGUUCAAUAGUGAAAGCGGUUUUGCUGUCACUUAUAGAUGGAUCCGCGCCGCAUUAGCUAGUUGGUAAGGUAACGGCUUACCAAGGCAACGAUGCGUAGCCGACCUGAGAGGGUGAUCGGCCACACUGGAACUGAGACACGGUCCAG